Molecule: ribosomal RNA, 484 nt
Filed under: Reiterina typica
Lineage: Eukaryota; Metazoa; Nematoda; Chromadorea; Rhabditida; Rhabditidae
Description: SSU rRNA
Rfam family: Eukaryotic small subunit ribosomal RNA
Source: RNAcentral
GCUUAUACUAAGCUAGCACCUGCCUUUUAGGAUAUCUUCGGCAAAUUGAAGCUAAUACAUGCACCUAUGGCUCCCUCGGGGGUCGCAAUAUUAGAACUACCAGUUUACUGGAUAGUUGACUUUAAUUACCGUAGAAAAUCGGCAGCGUGAGCUCCGAUGGGUGCAAGUUAUGUACGCCCUAUCACCCAGCAGGCUGUUUAACCGACAGCCAGGGGUAUAACGGGUAACGGAGAACUAGGGUUCGUCUCCGGAGAAGAAGCCUUCGAAAGGCUACUACAUCCAAGGAAGGCAGCAGGCGCGUAACUUAUCCACUACAUCAGUGAGAUAGUAACUAGUCUUAACUAUUAACUGACUUUUCAAGUUAGUUAUGGUCCAUGAGUUGAGCUUAAAUAGCUCUUCGAGGAUCAAGUGGAGGGCAAGUCUGGUGCCAGCAGCCGCGGUAAUUCCAGCUCCACUAGCGUAAAUUAUUACUGCUGCGGUUAAA